Molecule: ribosomal RNA, 468 nt
Filed under: uncultured bacterium
Lineage: Bacteria
Description: partial 16S ribosomal RNA
Rfam family: Bacterial small subunit ribosomal RNA
Source: RNAcentral
GACGAACGCUGGCGGCGUGCUUAACACAUGCGAGUCGAACGGAAAGGCCCUGCUUUUGUGGGGUGCUCGAGUGGCGAACGGGUGAGUAACACGUGAGUAACCUGCCCUUGACUUUGGGAUAACUUCAGGAAACUGGGGCUAAUACCGGAUAGGAGCUCCUGCUGCAUGGUGGGGGUUGGAAAGUUUCGGCGGUUGGGGAUGGACUCGCGGCUUAUCAGCUUGUUGGUGGGGGAGUGGCUUACCAAGGCAUUGACGGGUAGCCGGCCUGGGAGGGUGACCGGCCACAUUGGGACUGCGAUACGGCCCAGACUCCUACGGGGGGCAGCAGUGGGGAAUAUUGCCCAAUGGGCGGAAGCCUGAUGCGGCAACCCCGCGUGCGGGAUGACGGCCUUCGGGUUGUAAACCGCUUUCGCCUGUGACGAAGCGGGUGUGACGGUAAUGGGUAAAGAAGCACCGGCUAACUACGUG